GAUGAACGCUGGCGGCGUGCCUAAUACAUGCAAGUCGAGCGAACAGACGAGGAGCUUGCUCCUCUGACGUUAGCGGCGGACGGGUGAGUAACACGUGGAUGACCUACCUAUAAGACUGGGAUAACUUCGUGAAACCGGAGCUAAUACCGGAUAAUAUAUUGAACCGCAUGGUUCAAUAGUGAAAUACGGUUUUUCUGUCACUUAUAGAUGGAUCCGCGCCGCAUUAGCUAGUUGGUAAGGUAACGGCUUACCAAGGCAACGAUGCGUAGCCGACCUGAGAGGGGGAUCGGCCACACUGGAACUGAGACACGGACCAGACUCCUACGGGAGGCAGCAGUAGGGAAUAUUCCGCAAUGGGCGAAAGCAUGACGGAGCAACGCCGCGUGAGUGAUGAAGGUCUUCGGAUCGUAAAACUCUGUUAUUAGGGAAGAAAAAAUGUGUAAGUAACUAUGCACGUAUUGACGGUAACUAAUAAGAAAGCAACGGCUAACUACGUG
Molecule: ribosomal RNA, 497 nt
Filed under: uncultured bacterium
Lineage: Bacteria
Description: partial 16S ribosomal RNA
Rfam family: Bacterial small subunit ribosomal RNA
Source: RNAcentral